Molecule: ribosomal RNA, 279 nt
Filed under: uncultured bacterium
Lineage: Bacteria
Description: partial 16S ribosomal RNA
Rfam family: Bacterial small subunit ribosomal RNA
Source: RNAcentral
UGCCAGCCGCCGCGGUAAGACGAGUAGUGCAAGCGUUGUUCGGAAUCACUGGGCAUAGAGGGUGCGUAGGCGGCCCUGUAAGUCAGUUGUGAAAUCCCACGGCCCAACCGUGGCAUUGCAAUUGAUACUGCAGGGCUUGAGGUCGAAAGAGGCAAGUGGAAUUUCAGGUGUAGCGGUGGAAUGCGUAGAUAUCUGAGAGAACGCCAAAGGCGAAGGCAGCUUGCUGGGUCGAAUCUGACGCUGAGGCACGAAAGCUAGGGGAGCGAACAGGAUUAGAUA